UGGCAACAUGGCGUUGGAUGGGGAAUUUGGUGUUGUAGUUAUUCUGUGAAUAUUUAUGUCGUGCCUUUACAGGCAAGUAUUCAUUACAUAAUAAGAAGUUCACUCAGAAGUUAAAGUUUUAGCUUCUGUGAUGUGUUAAAUAAUAUUGCAUUGUUAUUAAUAAAUAAUCAAAAGAAAUAUAACAAGAACGGAGCAUGCUGUUUUUCUGGAAGUUGCGCUACAAGUGAACAUAGCUUGACACACUGGGAGUACGAUGCUGAUAUCCCAAUCUCUUGCUGACGAGAGUUGUGAGGUUAAUCUGUCGAGGCGUAGAUCAUGUACCAGUGCAGAGGUCAUCCAUUCAGUCUCAACAGGAAUUGUUCAAUAGGCAGGAAUUUCAGAGGCCUUAAUACCAUGUGCGAACCCAACAUAUGCAUAUACUCCCUACUUAACAACAAAGAAAUUAAAUCACACCCCGGAAGCUGACGUAGUGGCAAAUCAAGACUUAACAUCAAAUGUAUGAAUAUCAUAUAUAGGAUUCAGUAAUUUGAUUGCGAGUUUGAUAAACAGAAAGAAAUUAUGCACUGCUGUCUUUCAUAUAAAAUAUAUUGACAUCCUUGCUGUUUGAAUGUCAUGUGAAUAUCCAUAUAAUAAUAUGAUACAUUGUCAUCAUUCAUUGUAUAGAUGUUAUAUGUUAAUAUACAGUGGAUCAUGCUUACAAUGUUCAUAGUCUACAACUAUGAUUAAUUUGAAAAAAGAAAUAAUAAUCUGUUUUGUAUCAAGUAAUGUAUUGGAAUCACUCAUUGUUUAGAUGCCAUAUAUAACUAUACAGUGGUUUAUGCUUACGAGUUGUGAUCCAUGUUCUAUAACUAUAAUGAUUAAUUUGAGACAAAAGAAUAAUCUGUUGUUUUGGAUCAAAUAAUGUAUUGACGUCACUCAUAAAGGUGAGACGGUAUUUCAGUAAUCAGUACUUUGUAACAGUUAUUUUUCUCCUGUAUCUGUAACGGUUACUGAGAACCAAAAAUACUGAUUUCAGAUACUUUGUAUCUAGUACUCUGUAAGGUUACAAAAUAACAAAUAUUUUCUUGUACUGAUUACUUUACUAGUCCUGAAGUACUCAUAUCCUUACUGAUACAGAAUAAUGAAAUACUUAAGGCUGACCAAUACAAUAUAAAUACUGCAAUCGUAAAGCCACAACUGGAAAAUAUUGCUAGUUCACAAUGUAAAUCACUCACCAACCCCAGUGUCAGUUUGAUAUUCUUGAAUAAGUUAUUGAAUAAUAUUAUAUAUUGCUUUAAAAAAAACUUGUAUUAACACCCUAGUUUAAAGUGUUUAAUUAUGUAAACUACGAUAGAUAUUUGAUGUUUUUUACUUAAAAUGAGAGCUUAUUUAAUUUUUUUCAUAAUAAAAAAACUCGUUAAUGUACCAAAAAUGCACCAAAGAGAAUUAAAAUUACUUAUAAAAUAAAAUUUUAUUGUCAUAACCAGAACAUCCAAUGUAACAGCCUAUUGGACUCUACUCAAAGAAGCAGAGGUUCAAUUUAUCAUUCAAUUCAUUAAUUACAUCUCAAAAAGUAUAAACAUUAUAAUAUAAUAAAUUACCUAUAUUUAUACGUUUUAUACAUAUUGGCAUUGUACUUUUGAAUACUAUUAAUUACAUCAAAGCAUUUACAAAACUGUGUUUAUUAGGGAAAAUACUCAGUAUUUUAAGCGUUACAAUUACAGAAAUACUGAUUUAAAGUCUAGUAUUUAAACCGUUACAAAUAUGAAACACUGAUUUAGAGUAUCUAGUAAUUAAAACAUUACCAGUACGGAAAUACUGAUUUCUAGUAUCCAGUUUUUGUACUCGGUAUUGUCGAGUAACAGUACCAGAACUAACGGUUACAUGUACGUACUGAUUUACCCCAUCUCUACACUCAUAGUUUAGAUGUCAUUUGUGGGUAUACAGUACUUUAUGCUUACCAGUUGAGAUCUAUAGUUUACAUCUAUGAUUAAUCUAAAACAAAGGAAUAAUAUCUGCUGUUUAUCAUAUGAUAAUAUUGACAUCAUUCAAUGUUUAGAUGUAACAUGUGAGUAUACAGCGGUACAUACUUACAAGUUGAUGUCAAUGGUUAACAAAUAUGACUAAUUUACAAGAAAGGAAUAGUCUGUUUGUAUCAUAUGAUAUAUUAAUAUUACUCAUUGUUUAGAUGUCCUAUGUAAAUAUAUAGUAGUGUAUGCUUAAAAGUAGAGCUCCAUGUUCCACACACGAUUAAUUCAAAAGAAACAAAUAGUAUUCUGUUGUAUAUCUUGUAAAAUAUUUAUAUCACUUAUUGUUUAGAUAUCACAUGUGAGUAUACAAUAGAGUAUGCUUACAAGUUGAUAUCUUUAGUUUACAUCUAUGAUUAAUUUAAAACAAAGAAAUAAAAUUCUGUUGUGUAUCAUAUGAUAUAUUGAUCUUACUCAUUGUUGUUAUCAUAUUUAUGUAUAUGGUUGUAUAUGCUUAUAAGUAGAGAUGUAUGUUCUAAAGAUAAAAAUAAGAUAAAUUUAAAUAAAAAAGUAAAUAUAUGGCA
Molecule: long non-coding RNA, 2530 nt
Organism: Homalodisca vitripennis (glassy-winged sharpshooter)
Lineage: Eukaryota; Metazoa; Arthropoda; Insecta; Hemiptera; Cicadellidae
Exons: 2
Source: RefSeq, a predicted model, not a curated record